AAAUAAAUACACAUUUAUUCAUCACCGAUGUUUUAUUAUAUUCAUCGCUUUAUACAUAGUGUGAAAAUAAUAACACACGGUUUUUGGAGCUAACGAAGAAAGAAACAACUUUAAACCACAUGCAUAGGAGUCAAAAUUAUUUUACUUACAAAAUAAAAUCAUAUAUGACAAGCCACCUGACAACAUGAGAUCUAUAGUGAUAAUUUUUGUUUCAGUAGUUAUAGCUUCGAGAGUAUCGUCUGUUCCACUGGAUUGUUUCGAGGAGCAUAAGGAAUGCAACAAAAAUUACGUUCAAGAGGCACAUAAAAUUAACAGUACACAGGCUGACAAAUGCAAAGCUUUUGGUAGAUAUAAAAAUUGUUUAUUAGUAACAGAAUGUUAUUAUGGUCAGUACAAGGCAAACUCAGACAUGGCUUAUGUUUUAUGCAGUAGCAAGGGUGGAUCUUCUGUGGUGGUUUACAGCGAAAUAUUUUUAUUUAUUAGUAUGCUGUUGGUCAUAUGGCAAAGAUACGUGCUUCCAUUUUAUUAAAACAUUUAAGGAAUCUUUAUUUAUCUGUUGGGUCACUUCAAGUUUUGCGAUGAACACUGUUAGUGUAGAGUUAUUUAAACAGUACAGAUUGUGCAUAUACAUGUACAUUCACAGAUAUUUAACAAUAAACUAUGGAAGAACAAUAAAAAAAAUUGGCGUCGUUU
Molecule: long non-coding RNA, 693 nt
Organism: Patella vulgata (common limpet)
Lineage: Eukaryota; Metazoa; Mollusca; Gastropoda; Patellidae
Exons: 4
Source: RefSeq, a predicted model, not a curated record